CCUACGGGGUGCAGCAGUGGGGAAUAUUGGACAAUGGGCGAAAGCCUGAUCCAGCCAUGCCGCGUGUGUGAAGAAGGCCUUCGGGUUGUAAAGCACUUUCAGUGGGGAAGAAAGCCUUGGGGCUAAUACCCUCGAGGAAGGACAUCACCCACAGAAGAAGCACCGGCUAACUCCGUGCCAGCAGCCGCGGUAAUACGGAGGGUGCGAGCGUUAAUCGGAAUUACUGGGCGUAAAGCGCGCGUAGGCGGUCUGAUAAGCCGGUUGUGAAAGCCCCGGGCUCAAUCUGGGAACGGCAUCCGGAACUGUCAGGCUAGAGUGCAGGAGAGGAAGGUAGAAUUCCCGGUGUAGCGGUGAAAUGCGUAGAGAUCGGGAGGAAUACCAGUGGCGAAGGCGGCCUUCUGGACUGACACUGACGCUGAGGUGCGAAAGCGUGGGUAGCAAACAGGAUUAGAUACCCCAGUAGUC
Molecule: ribosomal RNA, 465 nt
Filed under: Vreelandella stevensii
Lineage: Bacteria; Pseudomonadati; Pseudomonadota; Gammaproteobacteria; Oceanospirillales; Halomonadaceae
Description: partial 16S ribosomal RNA
Rfam family: Bacterial small subunit ribosomal RNA
Source: RNAcentral